RNAcentral lists this ribosomal RNA (253 nucleotides) under uncultured bacterium. Its description in RNAcentral is "partial 16S ribosomal RNA". It matches the Rfam family "Bacterial small subunit ribosomal RNA", at positions 524 to 776 of the family's 1533-position model. The record is from RNAcentral.
UACGGAGGGUGCGAGCGUUGUCCGGAAUCACUGGGCGUAAAGGGCGCGUAGGUGGCGCGGAGAGUCAACGGUGAAAGCUCGGGGCUCAACCCCGAGUCGGCCGUCGAUACUUCCGGGCUGGAGCACUGUAGAGGCAGGUGGAAUUCCGGGUGUAGCGGUGGAAUGCGUAGAGAUCAGGAAGAACACCCGUGGCGAAGGCGGCUCUCUGGGACGGUACUGACGCUGAGACGCGAAAGCGUGGGGAGCGAACAGG